This 468-nucleotide ribosomal RNA is filed under the name uncultured bacterium. Its description in RNAcentral is "partial 16S ribosomal RNA". It matches the Rfam family "Bacterial small subunit ribosomal RNA", at positions 28 to 507 of the family's 1533-position model. The record is from RNAcentral.
GACGAACGCUGGCGGCGUGCUUAACACAUGCCAGUCGAACGGAAAGGCCCUGCUUUUGUGGGGUGCUCGAGUGGCGAACGGGUGAGUAACACGUGAGUAACCUGCCCUUGACUUUGGGAUAACUUCAGGAAACUGGGGCUAAUACCGGAUAGGAGCUCCUGCUGCAUGGUGGGGGUUGGAAAGUUUCGGCGGUUGGGGAUGGACUCGCGGCUUAUGAGCUUGUUGGUGGGGUAGUGGCUUACCAAGGCUUUGACGGGUAGCCGGCCUGAGAGGGUGACCGGCCACAUUGGGACUGAGAUACGGCCCAGACUCCUACGGGAGGCAGCAGUGGGGAAUAUUGCACAAUGGGCGGAAGCCUGAUGCAGCAACGCCGCGUGCGGGAUGACGGCCUUCGGGUUGUAAACCGCUUUCGCCUGUGACGAAGCGUGAGUGACGGUAAUGGGUAAAGAAGCACCGGCUAACUACGUG